This 483-nucleotide ribosomal RNA is filed under the name uncultured bacterium. RNAcentral describes it as "partial 16S ribosomal RNA". It matches the Rfam family "Bacterial small subunit ribosomal RNA", at positions 29 to 523 of the family's 1533-position model. The record is from RNAcentral.
AGCGAACGCUGGCGGCAGGCUUAACACAUGCAAGUCGAGCGAACCACUUCGGUGGUGAGCGGCGAACGGGUGAGUAACACGUAGGUGAUCUGCCCAUCAGACGGGGACAACGAUUGGAAACGAUCGCUAAUACCGGAUAGGACGAAAGUUUAAAGGUGCUUCUGGCACCGCUGAUGGAUGAGCCUGCGGCGCAUUAGCUAGUUGGUAGGGUAAAGGCCUACCAAGGCGACGAUGCGUAGCCGACCUGAGAGGGUGAACGGCCACACUGGGACUGAGACACGGCCCAGACUCCUACGGGAGGCAGCAGUAGGGAAUCUUCGGCAAUGGGCGAAAGCCUGACCGAGCAACGCCGCGUGAAUGAUGAAGGCCUUCGGGUUGUGAAAUUCUGUUAUAAGGGAAGAACGACUUUAGUAGGAAAUGGCUAGAGUGUGACGGUACCUUAUGAGAAAGCCACGGCUAACUACGUGCCAGCCGCCGCCGUAA